Molecule: ribosomal RNA, 468 nt
Filed under: uncultured bacterium
Lineage: Bacteria
Description: partial 16S ribosomal RNA
Rfam family: Bacterial small subunit ribosomal RNA
Source: RNAcentral
GACGAACGCUGGCGGCGUGCUUAACACAUGCAAGUCGAACGGAAAGGCCCUGCUCUUGUGGGGUGCUCGAGUGGCGAACGGGUGAGUAACACGUGAGUAACCUGCCCUUGACUUUGGGAUAACUUCAGGAAAAUGGGGCUAAUACCGGAUAGGAGCUCUUGCUGCAUGGUGGGGGUUGGAAAGUUUCGGCGGUUGGGGAUGGUCUCGCGGCUUAUCAGCUUGUUGGUGGGGUAGUGGCUUACCAAGGUUUUGACGGGUAGCCGGCCUGAGAGGGUGACCGGCCACAUUGCGACUGAGAUACGGACCAGACGCCUACGUGAGGCAGCAGUGGGAAAUAUUACGCAGUGACCGGAAGCCUGAUGCAGCGACGCCGCGUGCGGGAUGACGGCCUACGGGUUGUAAACAGCUUUCGACUGUGACGAAGCGUGAGUGACGGUAAUGGAUAAAGAAGCACCGGCUAACUACGUG